AGUGAACGCUGGCGGUAGGCCUAACACAUGCAAGUCGAACGGCAGCACAGUAAGAGCUUGCUCUUACGGGUGGCGAGUGGCGGACGGGUGAGGAAUACAUCGGAAUCUACUUUUUCGUGGGGGAUAACGUAGGGAAACUUACGCUCAUACCGCAUACGACCUACGGGUGAAAGCAGGGGAUCUUCGGACCUUGCGCGAUUGAAUGAGCCGAUGUCGGAUUAGCUAGUUGGCGGGGUAAAGGCCCACCAAGGCGACGAUCCGUAGCUGGUCUGAGAGGAUGAUCAGCCACACUGGAACUGAGACACGGUCCAGACUCCUACGGGAGGCAGCAGUGGGGAAUAUUGGACAAUGGGCGCAGGCCUGAUCCAGCCAUACCGCGUGGGUGAAGAAGGCCUUCGGGUUGUAAAGCCCUUUUGUUGGGAAAGAAAAGCAGCAGGUUAAUACCCCGCUGUUCUGACGGUACCCAAAGAAUAAGCACCGGCUAACUUCGUG
RNAcentral lists this ribosomal RNA (492 nucleotides) under uncultured bacterium. RNAcentral describes it as "partial 16S ribosomal RNA". It matches the Rfam family "Bacterial small subunit ribosomal RNA", at positions 29 to 507 of the family's 1533-position model. The record is from RNAcentral.